This 497-nucleotide ribosomal RNA is filed under the name uncultured bacterium. RNAcentral describes it as "partial 16S ribosomal RNA". It matches the Rfam family "Bacterial small subunit ribosomal RNA", at positions 28 to 507 of the family's 1533-position model. The record is from RNAcentral.
GACGAACGCUGGCGGCGUGCCUAAUACAUGCAAGUAGAACGCUGAAGCGAGGAGCUUGCUCUUCUUGGAUGAGUUGCGAACGGGUGAGUAACGCGUAGGUAACCUGCCUUGUAGCGGGGGAUAACUAUUGGAAACGAUAGCUAAUACCGCAUAACAAUGGAUGACACAUGUCAUUUAUUUGAAAGGGGCAAUUGCUCCACUACAAGAUGGACCUGCGUUGUAUUAGCUAGUAGGUGAGGUAAUGGCUCACCUAGGCGACGAUACAUAGCCGACCUGAGAGGGUGAUCGGCCACACUGGGACUGAGACACGGCCCAGACUCCUACGGGAGGCAGCAGUAGGGAAUCUUCGGAAAUGGGGGCAACCCUGACCGAGCAACGCCGCGUGAGUGAAGAAGGUUUUCGGAUCGUAAAGCUCUGUUGUAAGUCAAGAACGGGUGUGAGAGUGGAAAGUUCACACUGUGACGGUAGCUUACCAGAAAGGGACGGCUAACUACGUG